CCUACGGGAGGCAGCAGUGAGGAAUAUUGGUCAAUGGACGAGAGUCUGAACCAGCCAAGUAGCGUGAAGGAUGACUGCCCUAUGGGUUGUAAACUUCUUUUAUAAGGGAAUAAAACGAGGCACGUGUGCCUUUUUGCAUGUACUUUAUGAAUAAGGAUCGGCUAACUCCGUGCCAGCAGCCGCGGUAAUACGGAGGAUCCGAGCGUUAUCCGGAUUUGUUGGGUUUAAAGGGAGCGUAGAUGGGUUGUUAAGUCAGUGGUGAAAGUUUGCGGCUCAACCGUAAAAUUGCAAUUGAUACUGGCAGUCUUGAGUACAUUUGAGGUAGGCGGAAUUCGUGGUGUAGCGGUGAAAUGCUUAGAUAUCACGAAGAACCCCGAUUGCGAAGGCAGCUUACUAAACUGUGACUGACAUUGAUGCUCGAAAGUGUGGGUAUCAAACAGGAUUAGAUACCCGAGUAGUC
This 460-nucleotide ribosomal RNA is filed under the name uncultured bacterium. RNAcentral's name for it is "partial 16S ribosomal RNA". It matches the Rfam family "Bacterial small subunit ribosomal RNA", at positions 338 to 795 of the family's 1533-position model. The record is from RNAcentral.